Cavia porcellus (domestic guinea pig) is the source of this 468-nucleotide long non-coding RNA. RefSeq lists it as uncharacterized. The record is from RefSeq and is a predicted model, not a curated record. Lineage: Eukaryota; Metazoa; Chordata; Mammalia; Rodentia; Caviidae. The transcript is spliced from 2 exons.
CUGAACGGAAAGCCCUUGUGACUUAAUCACUUCUUCAGAAGACUCCACCACCUAAUACCACCGGCUGGUGAUUAAGCGCCAGCACAGGCAUCUGCGCGGGGAGGGAACACAUUCAGGCCACGUCGGAUACGCGGUGAAAAGCAGUGACUGGAAGAGAGUUUUGAGAGGUCUCAUUGCAAGACUCAAACACCACCAACACUGCGGACUGGAACCCGGGAAACGGCUGGCACGGCCGCCAGGAACCUCCACCAGGGGAGCUGCCUGCUGCACACCUGGAGCAGGAGCCGGUGGGCCUUCCCUCCUGCUCUGGAGGAGCAGCUGCCUGGGACCACCCUCAUGCCUGCCUCACCAGCACUCCAUGCCACCUGCACAAGGUGGCACUGAUACUAUUUGGCAGCUGCAAAUAAAACUCUUAAUUAGAACACGAUUUCCAAUUUCCAGCAUUGCAAAAAUAAACUUUUUUAAAAA